This 925-nucleotide long non-coding RNA is filed under the name Nicotiana benthamiana. RNAcentral's name for it is "long non-coding RNA (NBEN_LNC039979)". Lineage: Eukaryota; Viridiplantae; Streptophyta; Magnoliopsida; Solanales; Solanaceae. The record is from RNAcentral.
AGAGCCUCAACAAUAAUUUCAUAGCAGAUAAGGAUCAAAUAAUAGCAUGUUGAUUCACAAAUUUUUAGGCAUAUAGAUAUACAUAAUAAGAACUUAAACAAAAAAGGAAUGAAAUUUCAAGGGCUAGAGGUACUUACCAAUUACAAAAAUGAACAAGUAAACAAGAAAAAUAAUUUUACCAGGACUACAGUAACCAAUAGUACAAGAGAGUAGCAUAACCCCAAACCCAGUGUGUCAAAUUUCAAGAAGGAUUCAGAUGAUACUCGAGCAAUGCUCACUCCGGGAAGGCCGAUAAAACGAACUCUGGUGGCCUUGGUUUUAAGCCUGCCAAGAACCAAAAUUGUUAUAAUAUUGUGAGAGAGUGAUACUAAUAGUAAAAGUAGUCAAGUGGUAGUCGUUGAUACCUAAAGGGGAAUCAGUGAAGAGGGUUUAUAUAGUAACUAAAUCAACGAGUAAGCAAGGAUAACAAAAUUAAACAAACACAAACAUGGAAAGGAGAAAGAUACACAUCCAAUUAGUAAAAUAACCGAAAAGGAAAGAAAUCAACACCAAGCCCAAAUUAGGGUUCCACACUUAAAAUUGUUCAAUUGGUAUAAAGAAUCAAGCCUUUCUUCAUGUAUAUAGACGAAAUGUUAUUCAACUUUUUAAGAUAGAACGCAAUUCCAGUCUGAUCUUGAGACGCGUGAUACAAUAGACAUGUGGCUAGUAGCGUGGAAACACAUAUAUGGUAAGCAAAUAAUGGAGGAAUCUUAUUCUUAAAGGAAAUGUAGAGCGAGUUAAGGGGAGGGAGGCUAGGGUCAUUCAGAGAAAGUGGGAGGGUAAAGAGAAUUUAGGUGUGGCGGCUUAGGAGAAUGGAUAUUUAGGGUUGGGUUAUGGACACAUAAGGAAAGACAUGGGAGGAUAGUAGAGAUGGGGCGGGUCAGUG